CCAUGAGUAACGCAGCUAACGCGUGAAGUAGACCGCCUGGGGAGUACGGUCGCAAGAUUAAAACUCAAAUGAAUUGACGGGGGCCCGCACAAGCGGUGGAUUAUGUGGAUUAAUUCGAUGCAACGCGAAAAACCUUACCUGGCCUUGACAUGUACCGAAUUUGGGAGAGAUCUCUUAGUGCUCGAAAGAGAGCGGUAACACAGGUGCUGCAUGGCUGUCGUCAGCUCGUGUCGUGAGAUGUUGGGUUAAGUCCCGCAACGAGCGCAACCCUUGCCAUUAAUUGCCAUCAUUUAGUUGGGCACUUUAAUGGGACUGCCGGUGACAAACCGGAGGAAGGUGGGGAUGACGUCAGGUCCUCAUGGCCCUUAUGGCCAGGGCUUCACACGUAAUACAAUGGUCGGUACAGAGGGUUGCCAAGCCGCGAGGUGGAGCCAAUCCCAGAAAGCCGAUCGUAGUCCGGAUUGUAGUCUGCAACUCGACUACAUGAAGUCGGAAUCGCUAGUAAUCGCGGAUCAGCAUGUCGCGGUGAAUACGUUCCCGGGCCUUGUACACACCGCCCGUCACACCAUGGGAGUGGGUUUUACCAGAAGUAGGUAGUCUAACCGCAAGGAGGGCGCUUACCACGGUAGUAUUCAUGACUGGGGUGAAGUCGUAACAAGGUAACCGUA
RNAcentral lists this ribosomal RNA (668 nucleotides) under uncultured bacterium. RNAcentral describes it as "bacterial SSU rRNA". It matches the Rfam family "Bacterial small subunit ribosomal RNA", at positions 837 to 1504 of the family's 1533-position model. The record is from RNAcentral.